This 67-nucleotide transfer RNA is filed under the name Brachionus angularis. RNAcentral describes it as "tRNA-Arg". Lineage: Eukaryota; Metazoa; Rotifera; Eurotatoria; Ploima; Brachionidae. The record is from RNAcentral.
GCACAUGAUAACUAAGUUUAUUUUAGCUACGGACUAAAAAGGUAUGGUGUAAUUCCAUAUAUGUGUA